RNAcentral lists this ribosomal RNA (498 nucleotides) under uncultured bacterium. RNAcentral describes it as "partial 16S ribosomal RNA". It matches the Rfam family "Bacterial small subunit ribosomal RNA", at positions 29 to 523 of the family's 1533-position model. The record is from RNAcentral.
AUUGAACGCUGGCGGCAUGCCUUACACAUGCAAGUCGAACGGUAACGCGGGGCAACCUGGCGACGAGUGGCGAACGGGUGAGUAAUACAUCGGAACGUGCCCAGUAGUGGGGGAUAGCCCGGCGAAAGCCGGAUUAAUACCGCAUACGACCUACGGGUGAAAGGGGGGGAUCGCAAGACCUCCCGCUAUUGGAGCGGGCGAUGUGAGAUUAGGUAGUUGGUGGGGUAAAAGCCGACCAAACCAACGAUAUGUAGCUGGUCUGAGAGGACGACCGGCCACAAUGGGAGUGAGACACGGUCCAGACUACUGCGGGAGGCAGCAGUGGGGAAUUCUGGACAAGCGGCGCAAGCCUGAUCCAGACAUGCCGCGUACGGGAAAAAAGCCUUCGGGUUGUAAACCGCUUUUGUCAGGGAAGAAAAGCUCUGGGCUAAUACCCCGGGGUGAUGACGGUACCUGAAGAAUAAGCACCGGCUAACUACGUGCCAGCCGCCGCGGUAA